RNAcentral lists this unclassified non-coding RNA (335 nucleotides) under uncultured Sordariomycetes. RNAcentral's name for it is "sequence contains ITS1". The stretch from base 1 to 105 matches the Rfam family "5.8S ribosomal RNA", at positions 50 to 154 of the family's 154-position model. The record is from RNAcentral. Lineage: Eukaryota; Fungi; Ascomycota; Sordariomycetes.
GAAAUGCGAUAAGUAAUAUGAAUUGCAGAAUUCAGUGAAUCAUCGAGUCUUUGAACGCACAUUGCGCCCGCCAGUACUCUGGCGGGCAUGCCUGUCCGAGCGUCAUUUCAACCCUCGAGCCCAGCUCGGCGUUGGGGCAGGCGGGGACUCAUCCUCCCCGCCGCCCCCAAAUACAGCGGCGUCCGCCGCCGGGACUCCCCCUGCGUAGUAGCAAGCCUCUCGCACCGGGAAACCGCGGCCGGACAGCCCCUAACCAACCAAGCGCUUGGGCCCUUCGCGGCAAAAGCACCCAUCAGGUUGACCUCGGAUCAGGUAGGAAUACCCGCUGAACUUAA